RNAcentral lists this long non-coding RNA (297 nucleotides) under Sorghum bicolor (sorghum). RNAcentral's name for it is "long non-coding RNA (SBIC_LNC007748)". Lineage: Eukaryota; Viridiplantae; Streptophyta; Magnoliopsida; Poales; Poaceae. The record is from RNAcentral.
GACCAUUUUUCUAGAAUGGGAUGAACAUGUGUUUCUAUUUGGUUGAGGGAAGAAGGAUGCCCCUGAUUUAUGUUUCGUAGGAGAGAUGGGAAAGAAUCGUAUGCAUGGAUUACAAUUUUUGGCCCGUUUACCACUGUUAAGUAGGCCCUAGCUGUUAGUCUCCUUCCUUUCGCCCAAUAUGAUCUUCUUCCUUUUUUGCUCGAUCUUUGCCCAUAUGAUGGGCUUGACCGUGCCACCCAGGUGGGCCCCCUGCCGAUCCACGGCGCCUAUCCAAUGUGGGGCUUGCCCGCGCCGCUC